GACGGAGGGUGCGAGCGUUGUUCGGAAUCACUGGGCGUAAAGCGCGUGUAGGCGGUUGAAUAAGUCGGAUGUGAAAGCCCGGAGCUCAACUCCGGAAGUGCAUUCGAAACUGUUCGGCUCGAGUACGGGAGAGGGAAGUGGAAUUCCUGGUGUAGAGGUGAAAUUCGUAGAUAUCAGGAGGAACACCGGUGGCGAAGGCGGCUUCCUGGACCGAUACUGACGCUGAGACGCGAAAGCGUGGGGAGCAAACAGG
Molecule: ribosomal RNA, 253 nt
Filed under: uncultured bacterium
Lineage: Bacteria
Description: partial 16S ribosomal RNA
Rfam family: Bacterial small subunit ribosomal RNA
Source: RNAcentral